UUAAAAUGAUGAAACAAAAUCAGUUCUGCUUCUGACGUUAAUGAAGACAAAUUGGAUAACUGACUU
RNAcentral lists this small nucleolar RNA (66 nucleotides) under Plasmodium chabaudi chabaudi. Its description in RNAcentral is "sRNA PCHAS_090645". Lineage: Eukaryota; Apicomplexa; Aconoidasida; Haemosporida; Plasmodiidae. The record is from RNAcentral.